RNAcentral lists this ribosomal RNA (670 nucleotides) under uncultured bacterium. RNAcentral describes it as "bacterial SSU rRNA". It matches the Rfam family "Bacterial small subunit ribosomal RNA", at positions 77 to 763 of the family's 1533-position model. The record is from RNAcentral.
CCUUCGGGUAAUGAGGAUGGCGGACGGGUGAGUAACGCGUAAGGAACUUGCCUCUUGGACUGGGACAACUGUUGGAAACGACAGCUAAUACCGGAUAUUAUGAGAUUCUCGCAUGAGAAACUUAUGAAAGCUAUAUGCGCCAAGAGAGAGCCUUGCGUUCCAUUAGCUAGUUGGUGGGGUAACGGCCCACCAAGGCGACGAUGGAUAGCCGGCCUGAGAGGGUGAACGGCCACAAGGGGACUGAGACACGGCCCUUACUCCUACGGGAGGCAGCAGUGGGGAAUAUUGGACAAUGGACCACAAGUCUGAUCCAGCAAUUCUGUGUGCACGAUGAAGGUCUUCGGAUUGUAAAGUGCUUUCAGUUGGGAAGAAGAAAGUGACGGUACCAACAGAAGAAGCGACGGCUAAAUACGUGCCAGCAGCCGCGGUAAUACGUAUGUCGCAAGCGUUAUCCGGAUUUAUUGGGCGUAAAGCGCGUCUAGGCGGAAAAAUAAGUCUGAUGUUAAAAUGCGGGGCUCAACUCCGUAUUGCGUUGGAAACUGUUUUUCUAGAGUACUGGAGAGGUGGGCGGAACUACAAGUGUAGAGGUGAAAUUCGUAGAUAUUUGUAGGAAUGCCGAUGGAGAAGUCAGCUCACUGGACAGAUACUGACGCUGAAGCGCGAAAGCGUG